GGGCAGGCUUUUAUGUCUUAUUACUUUGGUCAGAUAAGAAGUAGCCAAGUUUUUUUUGGAAAGCUUUUGUUUUCCAGAAUACAAGGACAUACAGCAGACAGUAGGAGCUAAGGCAUGCAGAAAGCAGCAGCCAGGAUGGGAAGAUGUAAUGUCCUUGAUGAAACAACAUCCACUUGCUUUGGUUUUCAGAACGAACAACCUACAAUGCUGUGUCCACGAGGAAGAGGAAGGAAGGACCCUGUCCAUUGUUCUGAGGGUUUUCAGGAGAUUGCUGGCUACUUUUCCAAAUUGCGGGGCUGUAGUCAGAGUCGAGGGACGAAGGAAGAUAUUUCAAAGACCUGAGCAACAGUCUGAAGAGAACAUCUCUGUAACAACGGCAAGGUAGGAGCUCCAGAGAUAGAGGCUAAUACUGAGCGCAGACCUAAUGGAAAUGAGGGUUUAAAUAUCCCAGAAGUGGAGAGUUUGGUAAUUAGUGUGGUGUCGUGAUUGGAUAAUUGAUCAGUGUGCUGGCGCUUUCUGGAAUUACCCAUAGCUGUGGUUGGUUUAACAAAGGGCCGUUAAUGGUUGUUGAUGGACGUGACGGUUACAAAAACACCAACGCCAAUCGGCCUGAACAACACUCUGAGAUCACACAAGGAUAUACAAUAAUAAUCAUCAUCAUUCAUGAGGAACUUUUUACUGAACGUUGCCCACAGUGGGUAGAGGGGUGAAUGUGCAGUUGAGCCACAGACAUGUGACCUUAGUUUUGCAUUUCAUCUGUGGGGAGAGGACGAGAUGGUUUCAUGUCAAGAUAGCACACAUGCCAAGCCAUGUCAGGCAUUUUCCGGCACAUUGUAAUUUAUUAAUCUGGGCCAUUUAUGUAAGACAAGCUCUAUUCCCAGGAAUUUGAAUCCCAACAGAGUCAGGAAUGGGGAAGAGAACAGCUCAGGGAGAAGCAGUCGUUGCUGGACAGGUGCAGAUAAGGACAAGAGUCUUAACUGGUUGCAGACAAAGAUACUGCAGGUAGUCGGGAGAGCGAGAUUAAUUUAAUGAUAAUUUGCAAAUACCUUUCCAAAAAAACUGGAAUAUAAACCUAAAAGACAGUGUUUUUUUAUCUUUGCACUUUAAAUAAGAUCAGUGAUUUUGUUUUUGCCAAAGAAGGAAUUUCUUAUUUUAAGUUUUUUUAUGCCCUGGGCGGCAAUGGCUAAUUACCUAGUGCCUAUGCAUUUUCCUCCCCAUACGCCUGUAAUCUCUUGUGACAUCUUCAAGGAUGAACUUAGUUCCAGUAUGUCACAUUUCAGUUUAAAUUAAAUCAGUAUUACAUUUAGCAGGAAAGUCACCUCUCAUCUGGAUUCCAAAUGGUUCCUUCCCAUAUGGUUCUAAUGACUUUUUUCUUUUUCAUUUCCCAUCCUAGAAGCUGAUGCUAGAAGGCAGCACUUCUCAAAGCAAAGCAGCACCCCUGCUUGAUUUAAAAGGGUCCUACUUCAGCAGGGAAGCCCGAAUAGUCUUUGAGCUGCAGAAAGCACAUUAAACAGACUUAUCCUUCACAGUUACAGCCUAAACCACAGGGGGAUUAAGAAAUGAAUUCACCAUUGCAUUUGUGUGCGAUCUCUUCGAGUGAAUAUUAAUCCAUUAAUGAGGAGGCUUGAGCAAAUGUAGGUAAAGUCAUCAUUUAGGAAGUGAACACAUCAUUAUUUUGUCAUUUUGUCUUAAUAGUAAAUUCAGCCUAUAGAGGACAGCAAUCUUGUCAACCUGACUGCCUUGAAGCAGCUGUCACUGCCAACUUAAGGUCAUUUGUCUCAUGAAACAGAUGGUGUUAGAUCACUAACCUGGGACUGUUCUGUCAGUGAGACAGAAUUUCAGCACUGCACUGUAUCAGGAGUAGUUCAGCAUGUUCAUCUCUUUAGCAAGUACUGAAAGGCAAAGACAUGAAGAACCUGUAUAGCCCCUAUUUCAUCUGAUUUUUAAGUUAUGUUACCAAUAAAACUCUCUGAAAGCAUUCGUUUUUAAAAUACCUAUGUACUGUAUUUUUUAUUCUUGAGAGAGAAGACUACGAGGGGAUCUGAGUCUAGUAUUCGUAAUCCUUACAGGCACUGACAGAGUCACCACAAUGGUCCUCUUCAGAUUCGACAAUGCAUGAACUGAACGGCACAGCUGGAAACUGUUCACCGUGGAAAACAGGAGGCACCUUUUUACACAAAGAUUUGAGGAAG
RNAcentral lists this long non-coding RNA (2192 nucleotides) under Lepisosteus oculatus (spotted gar). RNAcentral describes it as "lncRNA (ENSLOCG00000022541.1)". The record is from RNAcentral. Lineage: Eukaryota; Metazoa; Chordata; Actinopteri; Semionotiformes; Lepisosteidae.